AUUGAACGCUGGCGGCAGGCUUAACACAUGCAAGUCGAGCGAGCGGCGGACGGGUGAGUAAUGUCUGGGAAACUGCCUGAUGGAGGGGGAUCACUACUGGAAAAGGUAGCUAAUACCGCCUACCAUCCGAUGUCCCCAGAUGGGAUUCGCUAGUUGGUGGGGUAAUGGCUCAACUAGGACACGAUCACUAGCUGGUCUAAGAGGAUGACCAGCCACACGGGAACUGAGACCCGGUCCAGACUCCUACGGUAGGCAGCAGUGGGGAAUAUUGCACAAUGGGCGCAAGCCUGAGGCAGCCAUGCCGCGUGUGUGAAGAAGGCCUUCGGGUUGUAAAGCACGUUCAGCGAGGAGGCGUUACUCGCAGAAGAAGCACCGGCUAACUCCGUGCCAGCAGCCGCGGUAAUAC
This 406-nucleotide ribosomal RNA is filed under the name uncultured bacterium. RNAcentral describes it as "partial 16S ribosomal RNA". It matches the Rfam family "Bacterial small subunit ribosomal RNA", at positions 30 to 526 of the family's 1533-position model. The record is from RNAcentral.